Molecule: long non-coding RNA, 1093 nt
Filed under: Equus caballus (horse)
Lineage: Eukaryota; Metazoa; Chordata; Mammalia; Perissodactyla; Equidae
Description: lncRNA (ENSECAG00000035518.3)
Source: RNAcentral
GCAACCCAAUAAAUGGAGAACUGGGCUGCCAAGUUUAGAAUGAGACCAAGAGCAAGAUUGACUUGAUGCUGUGUUGGUAAAAUUAGGCACCAUGGGUCCCCAAGUGACCCUCACCUUUCUAAGAUUAAGAGCAGGUCUGCCCUCUAGAACCUGAAGUGGAACUGCACUUAGAAAUGUGCACCAAGUGUGCUGGACCUCCUGGGACUGGUGGAUUUAAGGACAGAAUCAACAAGGGCAUUGAAGAGACUUGCUUCCACCAGAAUGAGUGUGAACAUGUGACCCAGACUGGCCAAUCAGAUUACCUCAUCCCUCUAAGGUUGUUCAAGCAUGGGCACAAGAUUCAGUGAAUUCUCUUAUAAAGAAACAAAUCAGAGCAAAAUAAGAGCAGGACAAAGAACUCUGUUUGCAGGAACGCUCUGAGCGUUGGCUUCUUCGGCAUGAACGCCAUUUCCACGUGUGCUGAACUGCUCUUGUCGAAGUCACACAGAAUAAUAUACGGGAUGGUGCCAUUUUCGAACUAACAGUCUACAAAAAUUUGUCUACGUGAUCUGCCAUCUCUGGCAGUUUUAGAAAGAAAAACACUAACACCUGGGAAGAGUAUGGACAGCAUACUUUGGCUUCUUCAAAAGCAGCCCUCAGCAAAGGGAUGGAGACCCUGUUCCCUGUUUGGUAUAGAUGUGAGUGAGUGUGCAUCAUUAAGAUGAACCUGCUGAACCGCCAGAAUCCUGAUGGUGAUGAGAAGGUGCUGCCUUCUAAGAGGUCCAGAUGUCUUGAAAACCAGAAAAGAUCCAAAUUUGAAAUGAUGGAGAUGCAAAAUGCAAGGCCCUCAAGAUCACAGGAAUGGCAGAACCUGGACAUCAUCAAGGGUGCCAGACGAUGCCCAGUAACCCAGCAGUGUCUUUGAGGACUAUACAAGAAGAUACUUUGUCACUGAUGGAAGCACCUGCCUCAGGCUCACUGGAACAAAAUCUGUGGCUUCUCUUGUUUGAUCUAAUUCCCGCUGAUCUUUCUGGUGUCUUCUGGUGCUGUUUGUACACCUUUGGCUCCUUAGGAUUCAGAAUCACCCUCAACACUGGAAAGCCUACAGCUAGCG